Small nuclear RNA from Dermacentor silvarum, 163 nucleotides. RefSeq annotates it as U1 spliceosomal RNA. The transcript has a single exon. The record is from RefSeq and is a predicted model, not a curated record. Lineage: Eukaryota; Metazoa; Arthropoda; Arachnida; Ixodida; Ixodidae.
GCACUUACCUGGUGUCGGGCCCACCGGCGAUCAAUGAGGCCGGGACCCCGUGCCGAGGCCUCCCAUUGCACUGCGGGUAGCUGAAGCAUGCCACUACUCCAAAUUGGAGUAGGUGGGACAUAUAAUUUUUGGUAGUGGGGCUUGGCGGGCGCGCCAGCCCCUC